AACGAACGCUGGCGGCGCGUUUUAAGCAUGCAAGUCGAGCGGCAAGGGCCUUCGGGCCCCUAGAGCGGCGGACGGGUGAGUAACACGUGGACAAUCUGCCCCCCGGCCGGGGAUAGCCCAGGGAAACCUGGAUUAAUACCGGAUGAGACGGGACCCGCGGAGGCGGGAUCCGGGAAAGGCGCUGCGGCGCCGCCGGGGGAUGAGUCUGCGUCCCAUUAGCUUGACGGCGGGGUAACGGCCCACCGUGGCGACGAUGGGUAGCCGGCCUGAGAGGGUGUACGGCCACAUUGGAACUGAGACACGGUCCAGACUCCUACGGGAGGCAGCAGCUAAGAAUCUUCCGCAAUGGGCGAAAGCCUGACGGAGCGACGCCGCGUGAACGAAGAAGGCCGUGAGGUUGUAAAGUUCUUUUCGGGAGGGGGAACAACCGUGGCAGGGAAUGGCCGCGGGAUGACGUGAAUCCCGGAAUAAGCCCCGGCUAACUACGUGCCAGCAGCCGCGGUAACACGUAGGGGGCGAGCGUUGUUCGGAAUCAUUGGGCGUAAAGGGCGUGCAGGCGGUCCUGCAAGUCCGGCGUGAAAGACCCCGGCCCAACCGGGGGGGCGCGCUGGAAACUGCAGGGCUUGAGUACAGGAGGGGAUGCCGGAGUUCCAGGUGUAGGGGUGAAAUCUGUAGAUAUCUGGAGGAACACCAAUGGCGAAGGCAGGCAUCUGGCCAUGUACUGACGCUGAGACGCGAGGGUGCGGGGAGCAAACA
RNAcentral lists this ribosomal RNA (756 nucleotides) under Sphaerochaeta sp. enrichment culture. RNAcentral's name for it is "bacterial SSU rRNA". It matches the Rfam family "Bacterial small subunit ribosomal RNA", at positions 28 to 774 of the family's 1533-position model. The record is from RNAcentral. Lineage: Bacteria; Pseudomonadati; Spirochaetota; Spirochaetia; Spirochaetales; Sphaerochaetaceae.